CAAAAAAACAAACCCUGGUUUCCGUGUCCAAUGUUACAUUGACCGUCUGUCUUAUUUAAAAAAAUUAUGAAAAAAAUUAAAAAGAUAAGUCACGCAUAAAGUAUCCAUCAUGUUUUAUCAUCUAACAACAAUGAAAAUACUAAUUAUAAAAAAAUUAUAUAAGACGGACAGUCAAACGUUGGAACGCAAACCCGCGGUUUGUCUUUUU
Oryza nivara is the source of this 208-nucleotide non-coding RNA. The record is from Rfam. Lineage: Eukaryota; Viridiplantae; Streptophyta; Magnoliopsida; Poales; Poaceae.